CCUGGACAGAAAACUCCAUAAAAUUUUACUAUUUUCUUGUAUGGGUUUUGAAUUUUUUAUGUACGGCUUAGAUGGAGGAUAAAGAAGGUUUUCUUUUCUGGGAGAGCCAAAUUCAUCAAUGAAAUAUUAUUCUCAAAGAGUUAGAAUUAGAAUUCUAACCUUGUGUAAGAAUUUAUGGGUCAGGAUAUAGUCUCAAGUAGACAAUUUCUAUGGGCCAUAGGUCUCCCUAAAUGUAAUAGAGACGUGUAAAGGUUUCCUCAUGCUAGACGAAGAUCGGCCCUUAAGUGUAUAGGCAGUAGGGAGCUUAACUGUAAAACCACCCAUUUCGAAUGGGAGGGUCAUCGAACAACAGAUAAAAGUUACUCUAAAGAUAAUAGGUUGAUCUUUCUAAAGAGCUAACAUCGACAGAAAGGCUUGACACCUCGAUGUCGGGGAUUCAUAUCCUUCCUCGCCCAUAACCAGCCAAAAAAAGGAAGGAUUUUUCCUCCUGGGGGUAGGAAAAUCAUGAUCAGG
Molecule: non-coding RNA, 513 nt
Organism: Vigna angularis (adzuki bean)
Lineage: Eukaryota; Viridiplantae; Streptophyta; Magnoliopsida; Fabales; Fabaceae
Source: Rfam